Long non-coding RNA from Homo sapiens (human), 673 nucleotides. RefSeq lists it as uncharacterized. The transcript is spliced from 2 exons. Lineage: Eukaryota; Metazoa; Chordata; Mammalia; Primates; Hominidae. The record is from RefSeq and is a predicted model, not a curated record.
UCUUAAUCAUCGCACCUAUUUACACACUUUGCCAGCGCGCACCAAAAUAACAACCACGAUAAUUAUGAUAAUAAAGAGAGUCCUUUAUCUGCUCCAUCCUCGGGGAGGAAGGGGGGAGUUGCUGUGCCUCCAGAUUGUAUAACGUGAGAUUAUCCUGAUGAAAGCUUUAUGAUGUUUGCUCAAAUAAAAGCUGCGUUUUGUAAAUAGGCGCUAAUUAAGCACGUUGCGAACGCAAGGAGUGCUCACCCUGGCGCCGCCGCCCGGUUUCCAGCGCGAGGACUCGAGGGCGCGCGGUUCCUCUUUGCUAACUGCAGGAUGGAGCCGAUCCCCUCAGGAUGUUUCCCCUGUUCUCGACAACGCUCUUGUCUUCCCUUUAAAAAUGGAAUCACUUCUUGACAACGGCAGACCGUGCAGAGCGCACCAGCGCGAGCGGGGCUUCCUCGAGUCUCCAAGGCCCGGGCUUCAACUUCCCGGGUCUAGACGUCAGCCCUGAACCGCCAACAGCACCGGGUUGGGGAGAAGGAAAGAAGGGCAUUGUUAGUUCGGUCAUUAAAAAUCAGCUCACGCCGAGGAGCUAGUGGUUGGGGAGUUGGCCCGUGUUGGACGUGUGUUAUGUAUCACUUACAAGCACAUUUAAUUGGGAGAUAAAGAUAAAUCGAUCUUUAUGAAUUUA